RNAcentral lists this ribosomal RNA (224 nucleotides) under uncultured bacterium. RNAcentral's name for it is "partial 16S ribosomal RNA". It matches the Rfam family "Bacterial small subunit ribosomal RNA", at positions 15 to 230 of the family's 1533-position model. The record is from RNAcentral.
GAUCCUGGCUCAGGAUGAACGCUAGCUACAGGCUUAACACAUGCAAGUCGAGGGGCAGCAUGGUCUUAGCUUGCUAGGGCCGAUGGCGACCGGCGCACGGGUGAGUAACACGUAUCCAACCUGCCGUCUACUCUUGGACAGCCUUCUGAAAGGAAGAUUAAUACAAGAUGGCAUCAUGAGUUCACAUGUUCACAUGAUUAAAGGUAUUCCGGUAGGCGAUGGGG